AGUGAACGCUGGCGGUAGGCCUAACACAUGCAAGUCGAACGGCAGCACAGUAAGAGCUUGCUCUUACGGGUGGCGAGUGGCGGACGGGUGAGGAAUACAUCGGAAUCUACUUUUUCGUGGGGGAUAACGUAGGGAAACUUACGCUAAUACCGCAUACGACCUACGGGUGAAAGCAGGGGAUCUUCGGACCUUGCGCGAUUGAAUGAGCCUAUGUCGGAUUAGCUAGUUGGCGGGGUAAAGGCCCACCAAGGCGACGAUCCGUAGCUGGUCUGAGAGGAUGAUCAGCCACACUGGAACUGAGACACGGUCCAGACUCCUACGGGAGGCAGCAGUGGGGAAUAUUGGACAAUGGGCGCAAGCCUGAUCCAGCCAUACCGCGGGGGUGAAGAAGGCCUUCGGGUUGUAAAGCCCUUUUGUUGGGAAAGAAAAGCAGCAGGUUAAUACCCCGCUGUUCUGACGGUACCCAAAGAAUAAGCACCGGCUAACUUCGUG
This 492-nucleotide ribosomal RNA is filed under the name uncultured bacterium. RNAcentral describes it as "partial 16S ribosomal RNA". It matches the Rfam family "Bacterial small subunit ribosomal RNA", at positions 29 to 507 of the family's 1533-position model. The record is from RNAcentral.